Adelges cooleyi (spruce gall adelgid) is the source of this 2192-nucleotide long non-coding RNA. RefSeq lists it as uncharacterized. The transcript is spliced from 4 exons. The record is from RefSeq and is a predicted model, not a curated record. Lineage: Eukaryota; Metazoa; Arthropoda; Insecta; Hemiptera; Adelgidae.
UCUUGUUAUAAACUUUUAUAUACAUUUUUAAUCUAAUCGCUUAUUAUUAGUUGGGUUUUACAAAGGAUCGAGAAAAGUUAAACGUUGACUUAGUUGAGAUCACUAUUCUCUGUUGGUCUUAAAACUUUCUAAGCGAUUAUUUUUUUUUGUUCGGCCAGCUAAGAUCUAGGCUCUAAGAAUCCGAUAUGAAUCCUUUAUAAAUAUUAAACGUUGCAUUAUGUAUCUAAUGGCAAACGAUGAAUGGUCGACGACCAGUUUUGGAUAAUAAUUUUUAUUUCUCAAAGACUAGUCGAAGAAUCCAGCGCAGACUAACGAGCGGCGUGGACUAUAAUUAACCGCUUAACGACCAGUCGUUGACAAAAAAGAAAAAACCAUGUAAACGGAUAUCCACGUGUCUGCUUGAGAGUUUGGUCUUUUUGAAGAAUAGAUCAAUAAAAUAGUCAACCAAUGUAAAUAAAAAUGUCCACGCAUGGAAAAUCAGUUAUGGCAAACAAUAUCUUACUUAAAUUCUCUGGAAGUUUAUUGAAUACAUGUAAUGAUAUGGCAUCAGACAUUUUUUAAAUUAUUUUCUGUUACAUUAUUUUUUAAAAAAACACAUUUGUGCGCUAUGUAUACAAUUAUCAUAAAUUAGCUUGAAGUUUUUUAGGUAAACUCUUGUGACCGUGCUGCCGAUUUCCCGUAGGGUCUUCAAUUAUUUUUAACCAACCGUGUAAGUACGGAAAUUAAUAGCCUGCUCAAACUUGGCGCGUCACCCUGACCAAAGACUCAAAAGAGUGAAUGGACUAGAAGUGACAAAGGUGGUAUUUAAGUAUCGGCGCGGAACUCAGAAGCAACUCUACAGAUAAGAAAUGGUAACUAAAAAGUACUCAAAUGGACCGAACAUUUAAAAAAAGUUCAUCCCUUCCACACGAAAUCAACAAAUUUACAUACUUUUCAAAAUAGUCGAAUAAGUUCCCAAAAAUUGUGUGGAACAUUCUUUCGACAAACCUGAGGGAACUUGAUUUCUUUGUUUCACGUUUUUGGGACUUAGGUCUUUGAAUUAGAUUACAACCGCCAUACUUGGGUCACCGCUGUUAAUCUAUCUGUAUAUUUUUUUAUUGACAUUGACAAACCCGUCCAUUUAAGUUUUAUAGUUUAUCAUCUAUAUAGGAACUUUCGUCCGAGCAAUAAAUUGUAUAAUAACAAUAAUGAUGUUUGAAAAGAAAUCCAUGAGAACACUCCUUUUGUAACGUCCCACGCAUGAUUUUCGACGAUACGAACCGCAAUCACACGACAUCGGUAAAGACUAUAAUAGAGAUUGUAUAAGAAAAAUAAAACCAUAAUACACGAAUUGAAAAUUACACACAACAGAGGAAUAGACAGUAUUAUUUCCAUAGUAUACUCGUUUGGAGCUGUACUUAUCCAAACAAUGUUUGCACAUUACAUGUGUGACGUCCCGUGUAUACUGACAACAACGUCUGCCACCUGUUAAAACUGCACGGUUAGGUUAGCACCGUUAAAUUUUGCUUACACAGUGCACUGGAAAAAAAGGUUUAUUGUAAAAAUUCACAUUUUAUGAAAAACAAUUUUUAGCUGUUUAGUUAAACACUAUUAAAUGUUAUAACGAAACGCAGAUAUUGAGUCUCUUCUCAAUAUUAUUAUGAAUUAAGCAAAAAGGCCAGCUGCAGUGUGACCAGUAUGGCAAAAUUACAUUCUUCUGGUACAUAUAUUUUAAAAUUCGUUUCACUGCAGCGCAAUAUGAUAAAAAAACACAUAUUAUGACUUAUCAGUUAUAAUAUUAUCACAUAUUUAUGAUAUUUAAUGAAACUGGAAUUUAUCUAUUGAUAGCGAAUGACUCACGUUACUAUCAAUUCAUUAAUUAAGGUAGGUAUAUUUUAAGAAACCAUUCUGAAAAAAACUUCAUUAUUAUAUACAGGUUGUAACCUAUUAAACUUAACACAACUACGUGCAAAAGACACUUUGUCUAACAUGUUUUAAGAUACGUUUAAAACUAAGUUUAAGUAUAAUUAUUGUACAUGAACUAGGCAAACGAAUAUGUUUAUUGUACAGAAAUGUAGGACUGAAUUCGGAAAACGAAGUUCAUUUAUUAUUGGCACUAAUCUGGCAAAGCUUUUAGUUAUUGAUGUUGGUUUAUUUGCAAGCUUAAAAUAGUAUAGAAAAACUAUCGAUGAAAAAAUUAGAUUAUUAAGUUA